GGAAAAACCGAGCGUGGCCGUCUCUCGGUUUGGUCUGUGUUAAUAUGAAAAUGUCUUCGGCAAUAUCAGUGGUAAUUUUAGCUCUCCUCUCUGUCGCUCACGGCCACAGGGUUUACCAGCCUGAGAGAUCACGUCUUACUGUGACCACGCCAGCAGAAGAUGAUUAUUACGAUGAUUCGGCCAGUGAAGGAAUUUCACAAGUUGUAACUGAAAAUUCUAUUCGUGGACAAUCUUUGCCACCUGCUACUGAAAUCAACACAUAUGGAUUCGAGUGCACUAUAUUCAGCGCGGCUUACCCUGACCAAUACCUGACAAUGGAGUCAGGCUUUUUCCAUUAUUUCCCAAAACUGAAAAAAGGAACCCCAAGACCGAGGGAUGAGGCUUGGGACUGGAGUGGCAUCUGGAAGGUCAACCGCCUUGACUUCUUAGGGGACACGCAUUUUCAAUUUUGGAAUCACGGCACCGAGACUUUCAUGACUUACAACGCGACUCGUUAUUCUUUCGUUCGGGGAACCGGACGAGCACACGAUGUGGACAACCUGUGGGACGUAAAUGUCAUUCAGCAAACCAACGGCACCAUCACGACAAUUCAGCACGCACAACACCCGAACGGGCAUUUGCACGCGAGGACUUCUUCAGAAGGAAGCAAAAGCAAGAGGCCGGUCGGUAUUUUUGUUCCUCCGGAGGCAAACAAGGACAUUUACCACUGGAAAAUAAAUUGCGCGUCAUCUAAGAAAGGAGGAGUUUGAUUAAAUUUAAAUCAAAAUAUUAUAUAUCAAUUACCAAAAUAAAUAAUAUUUGUCAUGAAAACAAUUUUUUUUAUUUUGAUUACAUAAUCUUAAACUAGAAAUUUCCUUCCGAGCGUCAUGAACUUUACAAGCAUGGGGAUUCGUCCAAACCGAGGGGGCACAUCAAUGACACAUAUAUUAUUUCGUGAUGAUGUUAUGUAACUGCAUAGCCUACAAAAGCAGCAUUCGCUCGCGGUGAUCAUUCAAUCUAUCCGCAGUUAUGGCGCACAUUACUCCGAGUUUUCUUCUCGCUCUUGCACUUGCAGUCACUUUGCAAGUGUGUGGUUCUUUGGCUGAUAGCAACCUAGUAACUGAACUCAAGGCGCUUGAUGACUGCACAAUUUACAGUGUCAGGCACCCUGAAUUCUACUUAUCCCUUUACUGCCCUCUUCGAGUGAACUACAGACUGCAACUCAGGAAAGGAAACCCCCGCGAGUCCGAUGAUGGCAAAUCGACCAGCGGCCGUUGGAAAAUCAACAUUCAGGAAAACACAUCCUCUGGCAAUAAUACCCGUGUCCAGCUGUGGAAUUACUUUGCCGAGCGCAACCUCGAGUACUACGAAUCGGAAAACGUCAUUUCCACUAAAGUGGGCUACAGAAGGUGGUCGUCCGAUGGCAAAAACAACUGGCUCGUUAAUAUUAAAUCAGGUGGAUUGACCAGCGAGGGCAUCGUCACUCCCAUUCGACUUGACUUUUCUCCUGACCAGUACCUGCACGCUGCCAAUGAUGAGGACAUUACUAUAAAGGACACUGUUGUUGACAACACUGGCUUAUGGCGAGUCUCGUGCAAAAAGCAGGAAUGAUUUAAUUAUUUGUUACUUUGGCAUAAAUGAAAAAGUUUUAUCAGCUGUAUAUGUGAGGAAAUUGUAUAUUAUUUAGUACAAAUCUGGUACAAAUAAAGAGAAAAGUAAUUUAAAAAACUA
RNA transcript from Neocloeon triangulifer, 1710 nucleotides. RefSeq lists it as uncharacterized. NCBI's taxonomy places the organism in Eukaryota, Metazoa, Arthropoda, Insecta, Ephemeroptera, Baetidae. The transcript is spliced from 3 exons. The record is from RefSeq and is a predicted model, not a curated record.